GAUGAACGCUAGCGGGAGGCCUAACACAUGCAAGCCGAGCGGUAUUGUUUCUUCGGAAAUGAGAGAGCGGCGUACGGGUGCGUAACACGUGUGCAACCUGCCUUUAUCUGGGGGAUAGCCUUUCGAAAGGAAGAUUAAUACUCCAUAAUAUAUUGAACGGCAUCGUUUAAUAUUGAAAGCUCCGGCGGAUAGAGAUGGGCACGCACAAGAUUAGCUAGUUGGUGAGGUAACGGCUCACCAAGGCGAUGAUCUUUAGGGGGCCUGAGAGGGUGAUCCCCCACACUGGUACUGAGACACGGACCAGACUCCUACGGGAGGCAGCAGUGAGGAAUAUUGGUCAAUGGGUGCAAGCCUGAACCAGCCAUCCCGCGUGAAGGACGACUGCCCUAUGGGUUGUAAACUUCUUUUGUAUAGGGAUAAACCUACCCUCGAGAGGGUAGCUGAAGGUACUAUACGAAUAAGCACCGGCUAACUCCGUG
RNAcentral lists this ribosomal RNA (479 nucleotides) under uncultured bacterium. RNAcentral's name for it is "partial 16S ribosomal RNA". It matches the Rfam family "Bacterial small subunit ribosomal RNA", at positions 28 to 507 of the family's 1533-position model. The record is from RNAcentral.